AUUGAACGCUGGCGGCAGGCCUAACACAUGCAAGUCGAACGGUAACAGGAAACAGCUUGCUGUUUCGCUGACGAGUGGCGGACGGGUGAGUAAUGUCUGGGAAACUGCCUGAUGGAGGGGGAUAACUACUGGAAACGGUAGCUAAUACCGCAUAACGUCGCAAGACCAAAGAGGGGGACCUUCGGGCCUCUUGCCAUCGGAUGUGCCCAGAUGGGAUUAGCUAGUAGGUGGGGUAACGGCUCACCUAGGCGACGAUGCGUAGCUGAUCUGAGAGGGUGAGCGGCCACACUGGAACUGAGACACGGUCCAGACUCCUACGGGAGGCAGCAGUAGGGAAUAUUCCGCAAUGGGCGAAAGCCUGACGGAGCAACGCCGCGUGAGUGAUGAAGGUCUUCGGAUCGUAAAACUCUGUUAUUAGGGAAGAACAAAUGUGUAAGUAACUAUGCACGUCUUGACGGUACCUAAUCAGAAAGCCACGGCUAACUACGUG
This 490-nucleotide ribosomal RNA is filed under the name uncultured bacterium. RNAcentral's name for it is "partial 16S ribosomal RNA". It matches the Rfam family "Bacterial small subunit ribosomal RNA", at positions 30 to 507 of the family's 1533-position model. The record is from RNAcentral.